RNAcentral lists this unclassified non-coding RNA (148 nucleotides) under Cladosporium cladosporioides. Its description in RNAcentral is "sequence contains ITS2". The record is from RNAcentral. Lineage: Eukaryota; Fungi; Ascomycota; Dothideomycetes; Cladosporiales; Cladosporiaceae.
GUACCCUCAAGCUUUGCUUGGUGUUGGGCAACGCGGUCCGCCGCGUGCCUCAAAUCGACCGGCUGGGUCUUCUGUCCCCUAAGCGUUGUGGAAACUAUUCGCUAAAGGGUGCUCGGGAGGCUACGCCGUAAAACAACCCCAUUUCUAA